GCUGGGUGUGGAGGGGCACACUUGUAAUCCCAGAGGCUUGGAAGGCUGAGGCUGGAGGAUAGCAAGUUCAAACCCAGCCUCAG
RNAcentral lists this small RNA (83 nucleotides) under Marmota monax (woodchuck). The record is from RNAcentral. Lineage: Eukaryota; Metazoa; Chordata; Mammalia; Rodentia; Sciuridae.